UCGACCGCCGAUCGAGGUAAAUUUCAUACCCCCGACUCGUUUUUCCACGCUGAUUUCCCCUGUGGCCAAAUCGGAGCCAAAAUCCUGGCCAAAUCGGAGCCAAAAUCUUGGCCAAAUGACUGAAAAACACGGCCGAAACCCAGCGGCGCCGCCGCGUCCCUCCUCGGUUUUUGCCUCCGAUGAGGCCCUUCCCGGCCUCCGUUUGAUGCAAUUUUUAUAUCACCGUGAUCACCAUUCUUUUCUCUACAGGUUGAUCAGAGCCGAAUCACCAAAACACGAACCUCACCGGAGAGCCGCCGCACCCGAGAGCACCGCCGCCGGUAAGCUUCAGUUUU
This 335-nucleotide long non-coding RNA is filed under the name Carica papaya (papaya). RNAcentral describes it as "long non-coding RNA (CPAP_LNC011388)". The record is from RNAcentral. Lineage: Eukaryota; Viridiplantae; Streptophyta; Magnoliopsida; Brassicales; Caricaceae.